UGUCUCACUCCUGGAGAGGGAUCAUGGCUAUAGAGAUUGGCACCUAACGCCCUUUCACAGACAGGGCCUAGGGCACACACCUCUCCUUGACAUUUCCUACUGGCUGAUGUAGGGGCUUCCCACUCAGCUUUCUGGCUUCUGUGAAUCCCAUUUGUAGGCGACUAACUAACCUCAGGCAUUAUGUGCAGAUCCUGGGCACCUAACUCAGGGUUGCGAAUUCCAGUAGUGUAUAGGGUGUUGAAAAGUUAGGCUCAGCAAUGCAGCACCUAAAUCUCCCUUGUGAACCUAGUAGCCAAAAUCCCUUUCAGCGCCACUCACCCACUACUCUCACAAAUGGUUAAGAUUUUCUUCGGCAUUAGCGCCCUUAUAUUUGUAUUACUUUUUCCCCUUCCAUGUAGAAGGGGAUAAUGUUUCUUCAGAUGUCGAGGUAUAGUUGGUAAAUGCAAAGUUAAUCUUAUCACAGCUGCUGCUUGAUUCGUGAGGCAGCCCUGAUAACGUCUGGACUGAGGUGAGAGAGGGAACCUGGAAAUGAUUCGGCUUUCUACCAGGCUUUGCAGAAGACUGGACUAGAAAAGAACAUUUUGUUUUUGCUGAAGCAAGUGGUCACACCACAGAAUGGGAGGAAUACCAGCAAGGACAGCUGUGGGAUGUGUGCAUUGAAGAGACAACACUGAAAACACAGGAUGGUGUAAACAUCAGAAACUGGAUAACUGUGGAAGAAUGGAGGAAGAAUGAAGUACAUUUACAUGGGAAAAAGUACCGUGUCCUUUACCAUACGGAGCUAUUCCUUUCAGAAAAUUACCAUCUGCUGAAAUAGCAAAAGCAAAAUUGGAUUUUUCCCUAGUACGCUUUUUAAAAGCCACUUCAAGUUCAAACCCAUAUAUUUAAGUCUAUUCAUUUCAGCAUCAUUCGGUAGCAACCUUAAUCUAUUACCACCAUUCACUAUAAUGGAAAAACGUCAACAGUUCAGAACGAGGGAGAUGCAUAUCAGAAUAUCUCACAGCUCAGUGGAGAGAGCACUCACUGUAGAGGUGGCAGAUUCCUGUUCAAAUCCCUUCUCCUCAGGCAGAGGGGGGAAUUUAACAGGUAAGUACCCUAACCACUGAGCUAACAGUAAUAAGGGGAAGUCCUGUUCCCCACCCCACUGUCUGUUUUGUUGGAGUUAGGUACAAGGCUGCCCAGGGGGGUGGGGGGGGCAAUUUGCGCUGGGCCCCGCAGGGACCCCCAUGAGAAUAUAGUAUUCUAUAGUAUUGCAACUUUUUUUUAUGGAAGGGGCCCCCAAAAUUGCUUUGCCCCAGGCCCCCUGAAUCCUCUGGACAGCCCUGGUUAGGUAGCCUCUGAGCACACCUAUCAGAUCAGGCCCCGUAUAUGAGUUUAGUGGAUGAAUGUCUAGGUUGCCCUGGUUCACGAAUCACUAGAGGAGAUAGGCACCUGCCUGCAGGCUGACUUAGCCACCUAUCUCCAUGAGACAGACAGGGCUUAGGAUCACGGGCGGAUUAAGGUCUCCUGGGGCCCUGAGCCAGAGGAAGUGGGGGGUCCCAGCACUGAAACCAUGGUCCGGCCCCACCCCUUCCGCCGGUGGUCCUGCCCCCCAUUCCACCCCUUCUCCCCCUUCCCCCACUACCCCACCCCUGUUCUAUCCAUGGUCCCACCCCAUUCCACCCCUUCCCCCGUCCCCGUUCCACUCAAUUUGGCUCAAUUGCACUGGUGUAAGUCCAGAGUUACUCUAUUGGUUUCACUGGUGUUACCUCAGAUUUAUGCUGGUGUAAUUGAUGCAGAUGUGGCUCAUCUGUGUGGUCCCCCAAAUUAUAAACAUUUACAUUAUUUUGACAUAGUUAAAAAUUAUAGAAAUCAUAGUAUGCGAGGGGGGUGGACGGGUUAACAAGUAAAUGCUAAUUUCUGCCUUGUUGGCAUUGAAAAUGCCAAGAUUGCAAGCAAAGUCUGAGCACUUUUUAUUUCUCUCUAAAGCUUAGUAUUUUUGCAUUUAAAGGUUAGCCUAUUCCGGUUUUCUUCUUACCAGAAUUCUAAAUUAAAGAUGGUUUCAAAAAUGAGUGAAGUAAUUCCUAUAGGCAUAGCAUGUAGAGUUUGAUUUUACCAUCCUGCUGCAUACAGAACUUGUAUUGAAAUUAUUUCCAAAGGAAAUGAAGCCUCAUGGAAUCAUGGAGCUAGAUGAGUGCAACUCAGAAAUAUUAAGAUUUCAAAUCCUUUGGCCUAUCCUCCUUUCUGAAUACAUGAUAUUUAGAAACCCCCUUUUGUAAUUUAUAGUAAGUAUUAAGAGCCUUGAUAAUACUCCAUUAAAGUCAACUGUAGUUUUCCCAUUACCUUUGUGGUGCUGGCAGAGCAGGUAUCAGCUCAUGUCAGAGCCCCCCGGCCAAUUCACUUGUGUAUUAGUAUAGAUGAAAGUGAUUGUUAAAUGUAUAUAAGAGUGUAUUUGGUGUUUAAACUUCAUGAAAACUAGUGGGAUGUUACUUGCAUUGUUUUCACUUAUCUGUAUCCCAUUAUAAUGUAGGAGCAGACAUUUACUUUGUGUAUACACCUGUAACUAAAUAACCCAACAAACAAGCCAUCAAACAAGAAGAAAGAAACCUUGUUUAAAUAAUGGACUUUAACAGAAAAGUGCUAAUUUCAAAUCAAGUGGUCAUUGUGUGUGAUGAUCGGAGGUCACAAUGCAUUCCUCACUCUCGUCGUCAAAGGAAAAGUCCAUGUGGGUAGUGACACUGUAAGCUUGUUUUCUGUCAGAAGAAGCUAUAAGUAUGGAUUCAAAGAAAGAUCCUACAUCUCUGGACUGUUUGGACUCUUACAGGGAAAUGUACCAGAUCUAAAGCAGAGGUCCCCGGGGACAAUCUGGGUACCCUGAAAAGACUUUUGGGAAACUGGCAGUUUAUUACAUCACUGCCACCAUCUGGAAUUACAAACUGUGACUCACCUGUGCAUAUAUUUUACUUGCUUAAACCUCUCAAUAACUCUCAUAUCCUUUUCUUAUCUAAUAAACCUUUAGUUAGUU
Non-coding RNA from Chrysemys picta bellii (western painted turtle), 3004 nucleotides. The record is from RefSeq and is a predicted model, not a curated record. Lineage: Eukaryota; Metazoa; Chordata; Testudines; Emydidae.